This 253-nucleotide ribosomal RNA is filed under the name uncultured bacterium. Its description in RNAcentral is "partial 16S ribosomal RNA". It matches the Rfam family "Bacterial small subunit ribosomal RNA", at positions 524 to 776 of the family's 1533-position model. The record is from RNAcentral.
UACGUAUGGAGCAAGCGUUAUCCGGAUUUACUGGGUGUAAAGGGUGCGUAGGCGGCACAGCAAGUCAGAUGUGAAAGACCGGGGCUCAACCCCGGGGCUGCAUUUGAAACUGCCGAGCUUGAGUCCGGGAGAGGCAGGCGGAAUUCCUAGUGUAGCGGUGAAAUGCGUAGAUAUUAGGAGGAACACCAGAGGCGAAGGCGAUUAACUGGACUGUAACUGACGCUGAGGCACGAAAGUGUGGGGAGCAAACAGG